RNAcentral lists this unclassified non-coding RNA (300 nucleotides) under Hevea brasiliensis (rubber tree). The record is from RNAcentral. Lineage: Eukaryota; Viridiplantae; Streptophyta; Magnoliopsida; Malpighiales; Euphorbiaceae.
CUCAAAGUAUUCAAACCAGAAUUAGACAGAAAAUUCGCAAGUUCUCUCUUUCAGAGCUUCGUCCGAGGCAGCCGGCGGUUACGCAUUCAGAUCGGAACUUUGGGAUACAAUGUCUAUGGUUGAUGAGCCCCUAUACCCAAUAGCUGUUCUCAUAGACGAGCUAAAAAAUGAUGACAUCCAGCUCCGGCUAAACUCAAUCCGUAGACUGUCUACAAUUGCUCGUGCUCUUGGGGAGGAGCGAACCCGGAAGGAAUUAAUUCCAUUUUUGAGUGAAAACAAUGAUGAUGAUGAUGAGGUUCU